RNAcentral lists this non-coding RNA (30 nucleotides) under Rattus norvegicus (Norway rat). The record is from RNAcentral. Lineage: Eukaryota; Metazoa; Chordata; Mammalia; Rodentia; Muridae.
UGGCAAGAUUAGCCCAGCUGAACAUUGUUA